RNAcentral lists this ribosomal RNA (164 nucleotides) under Sabulina tenuifolia. Its description in RNAcentral is "5.8S ribosomal RNA". It matches the Rfam family "5.8S ribosomal RNA". From Rfam's summary of the family: 5.8S ribosomal RNA (5.8S rRNA) is a component of the large subunit of the eukaryotic ribosome. It is transcribed by RNA polymerase I as part of the 45S precursor that also contains 18S and 28S rRNA. The record is from RNAcentral. Lineage: Eukaryota; Viridiplantae; Streptophyta; Magnoliopsida; Caryophyllales; Caryophyllaceae.
UAAACGACUCUCGGCAACGGAUAUCUCGGCUCUCGCAUCGAUGAAGAACGUAGCGAAAUGCGAUACUUGGUGUGAAUUGCAGAAUCCCGUGAACCAUCGAGUCUUUGAACGCAAGUUGCGCCCGAAGCCUUCAGGCUAAGGGCACGUCUGCCUGGGCGUCACGC